Molecule: ribosomal RNA, 483 nt
Filed under: uncultured bacterium
Lineage: Bacteria
Description: partial 16S ribosomal RNA
Rfam family: Bacterial small subunit ribosomal RNA
Source: RNAcentral
AUUGAACGCUGGCGGCAGGCCUAACACAUGCAAGUCGAGCGGAUGAAGGGAGCUUGCUCCUGGAUUCAGCGGCGGACGGGUGAGUAAUGCCUAGGAAUCUGCCUGGUAGUGGGGGAUAACGUCCGGAAACGGGCGCUAAUACCGCAUACGUCCUGAGGGAGAAAGUGGGGGAUCUUCGGACCUCACGCUAUCAGAUGAGCCUAGGUCGGAUUAGCUAGUUGGUGGGGUAAAGGCCUACCAAGGCGACGAUCCGUAACUGGUCUGAGAGGAUGAUCAGUCACACGGGAACUGAGACACGGCCAGACUCCUACGGGAGGCAGCAGUGGGGAAUAUUGGACAAUGGGCGAAAGCCUGAUCCAGCCAUGCCGCGUGUGUGAAGAAGGUCUUCGGAUUGUAAAGCACUUUAAGUUAGGAGGAAGGGCAGUAAGUUAAUACCUUGCUGUUUUGACGUUACCAACAGAAUAAGCACCGGCUAACUUCGUG